UGUCCAGGGGCGGGAAUCGAACCCACAACCUUCUGCUUACCGGGCAGGUGCAAUGUCCACUAGGCUACACUGGAC
RNAcentral lists this transfer RNA (75 nucleotides) under Cordylochernes scorpioides. Its description in RNAcentral is "tRNA-Thr". Lineage: Eukaryota; Metazoa; Arthropoda; Arachnida; Pseudoscorpiones; Chernetidae. The record is from RNAcentral.